AACGAACGCCGGCGGCAUGCCUAACACAUGCAAGUCGAACGAGACCUUCGGGUCUAGUGGCGCACGGGUGCGUAACGCGUGGGAACCUGCCCUUAGGUUCGGAAUAACUCCCCGAAAGGGGUGCUAAUACCGGAUAAUGUCUUCGGACCAAAGAUUUAUCGCCUUUGGAUGGGCCCGCGUUGGAUUAGCUAGUUGGUAGGGUAAAAGCCUACCAAGGCGACGAUCCAUAGCUGGUCUGAGAGGAUGAUCAGCCACACUGGGACUGAGACACGGCCCAGACUCCUACGGGAGGCAGCAGUGGGGAAUAUUGGACAAUGGGCGAAAGCCUGAUCCAGCAAGGCCGCGUGAGUGAUGAAGGCCUUAGGGUUGUAAAGCUCUUUUACCCGGGAUGAUAAUGACAGUACCGGGAGAAUAAGCUCCGGCUAACUCCGU
This 432-nucleotide ribosomal RNA is filed under the name uncultured bacterium. RNAcentral's name for it is "partial 16S ribosomal RNA". It matches the Rfam family "Bacterial small subunit ribosomal RNA", at positions 29 to 506 of the family's 1533-position model. The record is from RNAcentral.